This 13111-nucleotide long non-coding RNA is filed under the name Populus tremula. RNAcentral's name for it is "long non-coding RNA (PTRE_LNC000585)". Lineage: Eukaryota; Viridiplantae; Streptophyta; Magnoliopsida; Malpighiales; Salicaceae. The record is from RNAcentral.
AAUGAUCUUAAACGAGGUACUAAGACUAUAUCCACCUUUGACUCUUCUGUAUCGACGUACUCUAAAGGAAACAAGUAUUCGAGGAAUGUCCAUUCCAGCUGGGGUAGACCUCCUGUUACCAUUCUUGUUUCUUCACUAUGAUCCUGAGUAUUGGGGAGAUAACGCAGAAGAAUUCAAACCAGAGAGAUUCUCUGAAGGAGUUUCGAAAGCAUCAAAGGAUGAAAUUGCAUUUUACCCUUUUGGUUGGGGCCCUAGAUUUUGUCUAGGCCAAAACUUUGCCUUGACUGAAGCAAAGAUGGGUCUUACUAUGAUUCUACAAAAUUUCUGGUUUGAGCUUUCACCCUCUUACACGCAUGCUCCUUUUAAUGUCAUAACUCUUCAACCACAACAUGGAGCUCCUAUUAUACUACACCAAUUAUAAGGUUUACAUAGUAGUUUAGUAUCUUAUGAAGGGAAGCAACUCAGUUGAAUGAGUCACAGCAGGUUGUCCCAAUGUUUUGUUGUCAACCAGGAACAAGUUGGUGCAGUGGAGAGUGUUGUUUCUAUGCAUAAUGUUGCCAUCUGCUAUUGUAUUAAAGUGAUUAUUCCCUUUUCUUUCUUGUGGUUCUGAUGAUUGUCAUAGUAUGUUCUUAUGAAAGCACCACCUAAUGGAGAAAGAUGCUUAUUUCCUUCAAUCUUUCAUUGUUCUCUGCUGCUUUCUCAUCUUCCAUUAAAGGGAGAAAGUACAAGUAACUCCUGGAACUUGUCCUCUCCGUUUUGUACCCUGUAAAAUAGAUAGAUACAUCCCAAAGAUUUGACCUUUUAUAACUAUGACUUGUUAUCUUAAGACUCGAAUUAAAAUGGAGAUUUUUAAGGACCUCCAUUGUUCACAAGGUGGAACUCUGUUUUGGGUAUCCUCUGUUUUUUUUAUGUAGCCAUGAUUGCUGUAAUUUAACCUCUUCAAUAGUUUAAUUGUCUCUGAUUUUUUAACUUUUUAGAAUUGAUACAAAUUAAAUCUCUAAACUUUAUAUUUUUUUAAUAGAAUCCUUGAUUGAAUCGAUAAACUAUUAAAAGUUAAAUUAAAUUUUUAAAUGUAAUUAAUUCUUACUAUUUAUAUCAAAUUAACUUUUAAACUUUUUUUUUCAAUUAAGUUUUUAAUUAAACCUAUUAAAAGUUUCAUAAAAUAUUUAAAUUUAAUUAAUUCUUCUAAUAUUGGUUAUGUUGGAUUUUAGCCUCCAUUUUCUCUUCAUUUUCUUUCUUGUAAGUCUUUCUUUAGCUCAUCGAAUCAAAAUAUCAGUCUAGUUAUUUUGAUUUGUUGCAGCUUGAGGAUUUAUCUCUUUGUGUUUCGAAAAUAUUUUUUUAUUUUAAAUUUUGUAAAUUUUUUGUUUUGAAUAAAAAAGAAAAUGUAUUCUUUAUAAAACAAUUUUUUGGAGAUCCAAAAUUGAGUUAUGACAUCAUUAUGCAAUUUUUACUCUAAAAUAAAGAAAAUUAAAAAUUAAAAAAAUUGAAAGUUCAAGGCUUUGAUCCUAAUUAUAAAAUCUAAACUAGUUCGAAAGGUUUGCCCGAGACUUCGUUAACCCGGACUAGAUUGGGUUAAAAAUACAAAAGUGAGUUAGUUUGACCUGGUGAAAAACAUAGGUUGACUUGAUGUAAAACCCAAUCUACCUGGUCCUCAACUUAUUGAUGUUUUUUUUUUUUUUAAAGAAUCAAAACAAUAAUAUUUUAGUUAUUUUUUAAAAAUUGAAUCAAUCUAAUUUGACCUUUCCAGUCUAUGACUAGAACUUUGCUCCCAUUUAAAUUUUAGAACUAUGACUUAAUACCUGAUUGGGUAUUUGAGAGUAUGGUAACCGUAUUUUUUUAAAGUGUUUUUUUAUCUAGAAAUACAUUAAAUUUUUAUUUUAAAAAAAUUAUUUUUAACAUUAAAACGAUAUGAAAAAAAAAGACCAAUAAUUUGAAGAAAUAAAAAAAUUUAAUUUUUUAAAACAUAAAUUUUGUUUCUAAUGGAUCUUCACUGUCGAUUUGAACAGUGAAGGUGCGCAAGGAACUGAAUUUUGGACGUAGUCGGAAGGUUGGGUGAGCAGAUCGGAGAAUGGAUGGAUUCAAAUUACAAAGCUGAUGUGAGCAGCUCGGCCAAUAGCACGUGGUGGGCUCAUUUUACUGAACAAGAAGAGAUCCCUGUCCCUGCCAUGCGAUUUUUCCUUCCCGCCUGUGGUCCUCUUGCAAGUGGAUUGUAUUCCACUAGGGGUGUGCCGCGUGUUUGUGUGUGAGAGGGGAAGAUUCCGGUGACUAUUCCAAGUGGAAAAUAUGUCUAUGAUAAAUCAAUAUAUACCACUUAUGUUUUUUUCAUAAAUGAAAAAAAAAAUAUUUAAAAGAUAUUUGAAAUCAUAUUUGUCGCAGGGCAUGCUAACACGGCGUCGUGUGUUGGAAAGUAUUUUGGAUUUAAUCAUAAAAUUAUGGUUAAUGUUUAGGAGUCGUCACCGAGUAUUACGGUCACUAGAAACCUAUAGUCUGCGAGAGUCUGGGUAAAGUACUGGUUGUGCAAGGGGAAGACGCAUCACCCUCAGUACAACCUAAGGUAAGCUGCAUUAUUGUUUGAUUGUUUUUUUUUCUAAGUCAGGUUGGUCAUUUCUAAGGUUCAUGGCAAAUCUCUUUUCAUGAGAGAGUCUCUACCUAUUCGGUUACAUCCUAACCGUUCUAAAGUCUAUAUUUUUACACUUUGUAUCUUUAAUACCUGAGGGUGUACUUUAUCGUGUAAUUUUACACCUCACAAAUAUUAAAGUCUACAUCUGGAUCCUAAAAAAAAAGAUUAAAAAAAAAAAAAUUUUGACAUGUUGGUCAAAUCCUAAUGGAUAAUCAUAAACUGGUUAUAAUUUCUUUUUCUUUUUUAUGAAAAAUAUGCUUGGAAAAAUUUUAGGAUUUGGCCGUAUGCAACAAAAUAUUUUUUUCUUUUGAAUUUUUUUUUUUUGGAGAAAACCAGGUAUUUUAAUACCGGAUUUGUAUCUUACAAUGUAAGUAUACAAUCCAAUAUUUAAAAAAAUUGAUAAAAAAAUAUUUGAGAAAAUUUCAAAUUUUUUGAAAGGAUUUUUGUAAUUUUUUAAUUUAAUUAAUUUUUAUUUUUUAAUUAUAUAUUAAGUAAUUAAAUAUAUCAAAGCAUAUGGGCUGGGCCCAACACAGGCCCAGAAACAAGUGUAUUGAUUAUAGGAACAAAAUGAUUGGGUCGGCCUCGACCCAACAUAUUUUCUUCCUGCAUUUUAGGGACGGGCUGGACUCGGCCCAGCCAACUAGGCUAGGCUAAAGCAGGUCCAACCCAUAGCAGCUUAGUCACUAGGCAGCCUAGUGACUAAGUUGUAGGAACAGUGCAACGUGAAUUAUAAUUCACGUUGCAUUGUUCACGUGCAGCGAUGGAGGUGAAGAGAAGAAGAAGAAGAAGAAGAGAGGAGGGAGACUCACCUGGCGCUGAAGGAGCUGACGGCCUGACUGGUGGUGGUGAGGCUGGCGGCCGGCUGUGGCCGCAGCUGGAAGAAGAAGAAGAAGACGCCUACAAUGGAGAAGGGAAGCUCACAGUUGCAACUGUUGGAGCGGUUGAGGAGAGAUCUAAUAUCCUGGCGAUCUUUGGGAAAGGCAGAAGCUCUGGUCGUGGUGGUUGCUACGGCUGCUGGGGCCACGAUGGCAGAGAAGAAGCGUUUUAUAGAGGAGAGAGAGAGAAGUGGUGCAACAACUUCACAUGAUGUUUUGACAGCUGCUUGAGGUGAAGAUGACGGUGAGAAGACGAGUGAUGAUGGUGGUGGUGGCUGAAGGCCACGGUGGAGAGAGAAAGAAGAGAAAGGGCUGGUUGCAGGAAAAACGGGGCAGGGAAGGAUGGUUUUCGGCCAACUUUGGGUUCAAUUUUCUUCUCCCUCAGGCCAUCAAAUCCGUCUCUAUUUAUAGGCGGUGGAAGAGGGCAAUCUUGUCUAAAUUGGGGAAAAUUUCAACCCUUGAUUCGGUUGGGAAGGAUCCCAACCGUUGGCUCAAAGUGAGCAUCAUGAGUUGUUCAAUUCGCAGAUAAAGGCUUCCCGAGUUGGCCUGUUUAGGCCGACGCCGGCACCGUCUCGUUGACAUUUAGACUGUAAUGCUCAGUUGGGGUUGUAAAGAAACUGUGGGGGAUCAUUUGCGUGCACGUUUUGUUAGAUUUGAUGGAGAAAAGAAGCAUUAAAUGCGCCUGAAAAGUAGCCGCUUGGGUAGCAUUCACAGGUGAAAUCGGGGAAGAUAAUGAACAGUACCAGACGACGUGUUGCCUGGUUUUUUUUUUUUUACACAAAACGGCGCCGUUUUGGAUUGAAUUUGGGAGUUUAGCUUAUUUUAAAUUUAGUCCUUCAGCUUUCAAUUGACUUCAAUUGAACCCUAAUAACCUUUUACAACACGGUACUUGGUCUCGGAUUUUGUUAAUUUAACCCCUAAUUUACCAUUAAACUUUCAAUUUCACCCCCGAUUUUUAUCAAUUUCACCCUUAAAGGUUAGUGCUUGUUACGGAUUGGUCCAUGAUCUCGGAUUUUUUCAAUUUAACCCCUAAUUGACCCCAAAACUUCAAUCUUCUUGCAAUUUGGCCCCCAAUUUCAAUCAAUUAACUUGGUAAAUAUUAAAUUUGGUCUUUUAAAAUUCCAAUCUUCUCAAUUAAGCUCCCAAACUUAAUGUUUCACCAAUUAAGCCUAAAAUAAAAUUAAUUUGACCCCUUUAAAGUAUAAUUAAGUCCUUGCACUUACUUAAAUCCUUCAAUUGGACCCAAAUUAAUUCUUAAACAUAAUUAAAAUUUAAUUUGGCCUAUGAUUAAAUCAAAUUGGCCUAUUAAAAAUUUAAUUAUCUCAUUGGACUUAAUGUUUCACCAAUUAAGCCCAAAAUAAAAUUAAUUUGACCCAUUUAAAGUAUAAUUAAGUCCUUACACUUAAUUAAAUCCUUCAAUUGGAUCCAAAUUAAUUCCUAAACAUAAUUAAAAUUCAAUUUGGCCCAUGAUUAAAUCAAAUUGGCUUAUUAAAAAUUUAAUUAUGUCCUUGGAUUUAAUUUUUAUGCAAAUCCAUCCAAUAAUCAUUUAAUUUGACCUUCAAUUUGCAUUUUUUUUUUGGGCAUAAUGGGGUACAAUUAGGCCUUGAAUCUCCUCCAAAAAAUUACAGCUUGAUUCCCCGGCCUACUUUCUCUAUAUUGCCAGUCUUUAUUUUAUUUUUUAUUUUUAUUUUGAAAAACAAGUUAUUUUUGGAGAAUAAACCAGAAUUGGUUUAUGACAAUAUUAAUUAAUUUAUUAACUAGAAGAAAUAUAAAUACCUCAUGCAUUUUUUAUAUAAACAGUGAAACACCUCUUCUUCUAUUUCUUUUUUUAAAAUUUUUAAAUCUUUUCUUUUGAUAGACUCUUCUACAAUUAAAUUUGUUAAAAUUAUAUUCUUUGUUCUUUCCCCCCUUCAAUUUAGCCCUUUUUUUCAUUUUUUUUAUUUUUUCUCAAUUUCAUCAUUAGAUUUUUAUUUUAUUUUUUACAAUUAUCUAGCAUGGUUUUGGACUAAUCAAGUUAAUUAGAUCAUAUCGAUACAACUUUUACAUGAUUUAAUUUUAAACACGAGCCUAACAAGGAGUCGAGUGGAGAGCUUUUUCUUUUAAUUUCAUUGGUUUUUUUUCUAAAAACUUUUCUCAAACUUUUUUUAUUUAUCAGGUGAGUUGUUUUUGGAUCGAAGAAGCAGAUUAGGUCAUGCUAAAAAACUAUCAUAUUAUUUAAUUUUAAAUCCGGGUUAGACAUAAAAUUGGAUCGAAAUGCUUAUUUCCUUCAAUCUGUUAUUGUUCUCUGCUGCUUUCUCAUCUUCCAUUCAAGGGAGAGUGAAAAUAACUUCUGGAACUUGUCCUUUCCUUUUUGUACCCAGUAAAAUAGAUAGAUACAUCCCAAAGAUUUGGCUUUUUAUUACUAUGACUUAUUAUCUAAAGACUAAAAAAAAAAGGAGUUUUUUAUGGACCUUCACUGUUUAUAAGGUGCGUGAAGAACUCUGUUCUUGGUGUCCUCUGUUUGUUUUUUUAGCCAUGAUUGCAAUAAUUUAACCUCUUCAAGUUUUAAUUCUCUCUUAUUUUUUAACCUUUUAGAAUUGAUAAAAAUUAUAACACAAAUAAUUAUAUUUAAAAACUUAAAAUUAAAAAAACCUUGGAUCCUAACACAAAACUUAUUAGGCUUGGUCCUAUGUUAGAAUCCAAGAGAUUGGAUCCUAACAAAAGACCAAUAGUAUUGGGUUAGGCAAUGUUGUAGACCCAAGAAAUUUGGGUUUGCGUCCUAGCUAUACCUAAACUCCCUUGGACAUCGCCUUCUUUUUCUGCCUCAAGUUUCUUGAAUCUGGAAGAGAAUAUCUGACCCAAAAGAAACGAAAAAAAAUGAAAUCAAAUUACUGAUGGGUCCUUCUAGGGGUAAGACACCAAGACCCAUCAACUGGUCCUGCUAGAGAUAGAACACACGUUGAUGGGUCAGGCUCACAAGAAGAGUCAAGAGUCAUGGGUUUAGUGGUGGCUGGACCAAAAGCUAUUUUAGAUCAUAAUUAUAGCUUCAACAAAAAUCAAUAAGAGAAAAGAAAAAAAAAAUCAAGAGAGUAAAAACUAAAAUUAAAAAUAUCUUAAAAUAUUUUUUUAAAAAUAUAUUGAGAUAUUUUUUUAAUUUUUUAAAAUCUAUUUUAUAUAUAAUCACAUCAAAAUAAUAAUAAAAAAAUAUCUUAAUAUGAAUUAAGGAAAAUAUUAAUUUGAAGUGAAGAAAAAAAUAAAUAAUAAUAAUAAUUGAUUUUACCCUUAAAAUCAAAUCUAUGCUUUUUCCAUAGCAAUAAUAUUUAUUUUAAUUUCAAUAAUAUUAAUGAAUUUAAUAAUAUUUAUAAUAUUAAUAAUAAUAUUUAACUUAUCUGUCUAAUUUUUGUAUUUUUCAAUCUUUUAAAAACAAUUUAUGCUUUCUUCGAUCAUAGUAAUAAUUUUUUUUUUUAAUUUGGUAAUGGCAAUAACAAUAAUAAAAAAAGUGAUAAUAAUUCUUAAUUUUACCCUUCCAAUCAAAUAUUUUAUUAUUUUUCAAUAUUAAAAUUUUUUAUAUAAAUUUAUUUAUUAUUAUAUGAAUAAUAUUAAUUGUAAUACAAAUUAUAUUAUUUAUAAUAAAAAUAAUAGUAGGUUUAAUAUUAAUGAUAGUAAUUAUAAAAAAAUCAUAAUAUUUAUAUCAUAAAUAUUAAUAUUUUUCAUAGUAAUAAUUUUAAUUAUAAUAAAAAUAAUAAUAUUUAGAAUUUAAAUAAUAAUAAUAAUAUUUAUCAUAUUAAUAAUAGUAUUGAACUUGUCUGACCAAAGUUUUAAUCGUAAUAAGUGUUUGAAAAAACUUUAUUAACAAUAAUAAUAAUAAUUGAUAUUAUUUUUCAUUUUUCUUCUUUUCCCGCGCUAUACCGCGGACUCACCUUUUAUUUUAAUAAAAUAAUAUUAUAAAAAUCUAAGACCCAAAAGUAUUGGGUUUGGUUACAACGUCGAACCCAAGAGCAUUGAGUCUAGCUGCAACACCAAACCCUAUAAUAAUAUUUAUAAUAUUAGUAAUAAUAUUUAACUUGUCUUUCAAAAAAAAAUUUUAAUCUUUAAAAAAAUAGUAAUAAUAGUUUUUUAAAAUUUAAUAAUAAUAAUAAUUAAUAUAUUAUUAUUAUUAUUAACUUUACACUUCACAUCAAAUCUAUGGUUGUUUUUCAAUAUUGAUAAUAUUUGUUUUCAAAUUUAUUAAUUAUUUUAUUAAUAAUAUUAAUUAUGAUAAAAAAUAAUAAUAUCUAUAACACAAAUAAUACUAUUUUUAAUAUUAAUACUUUAAAUUAUAAUAAAAAUACUAAUAUUUAUGACAAUUUAGAUUAAUACUUUAAUUAUAAUAAAAAUAAUUAUAAUUAUAAUACAAAUGAUUAUAUUUAAAAACUUAUGACCCAAGAACCUUGAGUCAUAACGCAGGACUCAUUAAUCCUAGGUCCCGACACCACACCUAAGAGCUUUUGGUGCUGACACAACCCAAAAAAUUAGGUCCUGAUGCAGGACUUAAGAGAUUCGGUUCUGAUGAAGGAUCAAUAAUCUUUGGUCAAACGGGUCUGCAAAGACCUAAAGAAUUUAAGUAUGCGCCUAGCAACACCCAAGAUCCUUGGGUGAGGCACCCUUUCCUACCCCAAGUUUCUUAGGUUUGGAAAAGAAUGUUGGACUCAAGAGGAAAGAAAAAGAAAUGAAAAAGCAAUUAUUGGUGGAUCCUGCUAAGGGCAUGACCCAACAAUGAUGGAUCAUAUUAAGGACAUGACCCACAACUAAUGGGUUCAAUGGCGGCUGGACCCAAAGCUAUUUUGAAGUGAAGACCAAGCUUAAUAUAUUUCUCUUGAGUGUGGUUGCACAAUUAGACCCAAUCUCAAUAUAUUUAAAAAUAAAAUUAAAAAAAAUACAAAACAUAAAAAAUAUUAAUUUGAAGUAAAGAAAACAAUAAAAGAAUUUCAAAAAACUUUCAAUGUAUUUUUGGAAUGCAAAACCAAACAUGCUUUAAUAAGGAAAUUCAACCCAACCUGAAAUGAAAAAAAUAAUUAUCGUCACCUAACUUUUGUAUAAUAUAAAACAAAAUCACAUUAAUUUAUUUUCUCUUUACACUAUGAAAAAAAAAUCAAUAAGAGAAAAGAAAAAAAAAUUCAAGAGAGAAAAAAAUAAAAUUAGAAAUAUCUUAAAAUAUUUUUUAAAAAUUAUAUUGAGAUAAUAUUUUUUAUUGUUUUAAAUCCAUUUUUUAUAUAAUCACAUAAAAAAUAAUACAAAAUAUCUUAAUAUGAAUUAAAGGAAAAAAAUAUUAAUUUAAAGUUAAAAAAAUAAUCUUGUUAUAAAAUUUAUUAACAAUAACAAUAACAAUAACAAUAAUUGUUAUUACUUAUAUUUGUUUUUGUUUUUUUUUCAAAUCUGUUAUUUUUCUAUAUAGGUCUGUAGACCCAGCAACAUAGGUCUGCUACCCCUGGGGGAGUCUGCAGACUCCAGACUUGGCAUAACAAAACCCAGGCGUGCCUAGCCGCGUGGGUAUGCAACCUCUAACGGGGUCUGUAGAUCCCAAACAUGGCAAAAAAUACCCAGGGGCGGGUCUGUAUCCUGCUCCCAGUUAUGCACACCCAAGUGAGGGGUUCUGCAAACCUAGGCGAGACCCUAGAGGCGAGGGUCUGCAAUCGCGAGUAGGCUUGCAGACCCACUUGCCUGUGUCUACAGACAUGCACUUUGGUUCUACCACUCACGCUGGUCUGCACCCACCACCUGGGUAUGCAGCCCUUGCGCGCGGUUUAACAGACUUGCCCGCCUAGGUUUGCAACCUCUUGUCCGUGCCAGUCCCAACACCAUGUUUCUGCAACUUGGGGCCUGCGGUCCCACUUGACGCGCAGCCACCUAGGGCUUGGCAUCCCCAGCAUCAUGUCUGCAGCCUAGGGUUUGGAGUCCCACUUGGCAAGCGGGUACCCAAGGCUUUGCCAGCCCAGCAUCAAGUGUCUGUAGCCACACCAAAAUUAGAGCUAACCUAGGGGAGUGGAUCUGCAGCCUCAUUGUGCUCCCACCCACCAAGCAUUAUAAUUUAUAGUGAAAUCACUUAUAAUUCACAAUAACUCUUCUUAACUAGUGCAAUCCACAAAUAAAACGUUUUUAAUUCAUAAUUUCUUUCGUUGUAAUAAAAUACUGUUAAUAUUUUUAGUUAUAGUUAAUUGAUAACUUCAGCAGCAAGAUCAUUAAGUAAUACUCUAAAAGGCGUGGGAAAACUAUUGUAGCUUUCCGACGCCUUUUACUAAUAUAUUUACUUAUUAAUAUAUUAUAUAACUGUUAUUUUAUUUUAUUUUGUUUUUUGUUUUUUUAAUGAAUUUUUUUUAUUUGAUUUAGUUUGUUAAUGUUAAUUUUUUUUUAUUUAGUUAUCAGAUUUUCAUGAUACGGAUCCCGGAUUUGAUAGGUUAACCUAAUUUGACGAGUUAACCCGGAUUUUUUUUAAUUAUUUUUUUCAUUUAAUUUAGUUUGUUAAAGUUAAUUUUCUUUUUAUUUAAUUAUCAGACUUUCAUAACACGUAUCCUAGGCUUAACGGGUUAACUUGGUUUGAUGGGUUAACUCAGUUAAUUCUGGGUAAACCCAUCAUUUGUUUUUCUAUUUAGUUAUCAAACUUUCAUGACGUGAAUCCCAGGUUUUACGGGAUAACCUAAUUUAAAGGGUUAACCCAAUUAAUUCAUUUUUUUUUCUUUUUCUUCAUGUUGAUUUUUUUUCUUUGUUUUUUUUAAUUAAUCUAUUUAAUUAUUACACUUUUAUAACAAGACCUUAUAGCCAUACCCACAUCCAAUAUUUUUGGGUCCGUUGUUGCAGUCAUGCUCACUCAAACUUGGAUUAUACAAGUUUAAUGUUAUUAUUAAUAUUAUCAAUAUUACUCUUACGUCAGGCUUUGCAGCUAAACCCAAGAUUUUUGGAUAUAAUUUUGCAGAAAAACCUAAAAAUUUUAAAUUUUUAUUUUUUUUAUAUUUUUUAUAUAAAAAAAUAAACCGCGACAUCGCAAGGAUGAUAUACCUAGUAAUCUAUUAUUAGCGUAUAUCACGUGAGAAUAAUCUUCGUGCCCUUGGGCUGCAAGGCAAAUUAGGAUUUAUAUUCUCGUUCUGUCGUUUUCACUUUUUAUUUUUUUUGUUCUUGAAAUCAAUACACGUUAUUUUGGUGUUUCUGAAACAAUGAGACAAGAGAUGGGUUAUAAGUUUGUCAAGGAAAAACAAAAGGUCGACGUCAUUGGAAUCAAUAAAAUAAAUAAAGACAGGAAAGCAAUAAGGUUCAAGUUCAAACAGGAGCUAACAAAAGCCCUAUAAAUUCUUCACCAAUCGGGUCUCAUUUCCAUCAAAUUUCAUCGAUCCCAAGUUUGCUGAAGCAGCAGUUUCCAACCAAAAAACAAAAAUGGAAGAUUUUAUUUUCAGAGGGUUUCUGUCCUCUUCUUUACUUCUAUUUCUCUAUGUUGUGUUUAGAGUUGCUCACACGUUUUGGCUGAAACCGAAAAGCCAAGAGAAGCGUUUGAGGAAGCAAGGGAUCAGAGGCACUUCUUACAAGCUUUUGAAUGGUGAUAAGAAAGAGUUUGCAAGGUCUUCUAAAGAAGCUAGGUCCAGGCCCAUUGCUCUAAAUCAAGCAAUUGCACCACGUGUCCUUCCAUUCUUUUAUAAAAUGGUGCAAAUUUACGGUGAGCAGCAGCUUCACAAGCUAUCUCAUUUUUUCAGAUUUUUUUUAUUAUUUCUAGGAAUUUCUGUUCAUACAUGUAUUUGGUAAUCGGUAUUAUCCUGAUUUGUAAUGCGAACGAGAACAGGAAAGGUCUCCCUGUGUUGGAUGGGGACAAGACCUAGCCUGCUAUUAGCUGAUCCAGAGCUGGUGAGGUUGGUGUUAACAGACACGAGUGGUCACAUUAUAAAGCCACCGCAAAAUGCCCUUGUGGGUCUGUUACAGCGGGGAGUCUCAACCUUGGAAGGAGACGAAUGGGCCAAGCGCAGAAGGUUGAUGACACCUGCCUUCCACGCUGAGAGAUUAAGGGUAACUUCACCUACCUGAAUCUUGCAAGUUUAAACAUUCUUAAGAAAUUUUUACAGCUUGCAUUUGAAAAUUUAGAAUCUAUUUGGACUUCUUUACAUUUUAUCAAUUGACCAAUGUGCUGCAUAAGCAAAAAUUGAUCCAGAAAACAUUCAUGAAUGUCAGCAAAUGGCAAGAAGGAGUGAUAGAGAGUUAUAUAAAUUAUAUUUUGAAACCUGUGAUUGAGCUAUUGAAUUGAGAUAGUUCUAUAAUAUAACAUGGUAUUCUAUUGGAUUCAGUUGGUUUUUUGACAAGUUGAGGUGAUGGUACAGCUAUACACACCAAAACGUGUACUGUAGUCAAACUUGAGAUGGAGGCUUGAAAGAAUUCUUGAAUUAUCAUAAAGAAACUUUGCGGGAACUAGUAUAUCCAUUUAACUUGUAUACGUGUUUUAUAAGGAUUUUCGGAUUCCAGAUCUUUAGCCUUCAAUCACUAGCUUUUUAACUUUUGAAUUGAAUCAACGUUUGAUAUGGUAUUAGAGUCUAUAUGCUGAUUAGUGCUGGUUUGUGAACAGGGGAUGAUCCCAGCAUUUUCAGCCUGCUGUUGUGAUCUGGUUCAGCGAUGGAAGAAAUUAGCAGGUCCUCAGGGAUCAUGUGAAUUGGAUGUUGCAAGCGAAUUUAAUAUUCUUGCAAGUGAUGUUAUAGCUCGAGCAGCCUUUGGAAGCAGCUAUGAAGAGGGAAAGAAAAUAUUUGAUCUUCAAAAGGAUCAAGUUAUUUUGGCCCUUGAAGCUUUUUAUUCCAUUUACUUCCCUGGUUUGAGGUACAUAUUAAUGCCAUUUAUCUCUUGCAAAUUCAAGCUUCUCUCGGUGCUUGUUAAAAUUUUUAACCAAUGUCUGAUAAUACAUUAAAUCCCAGUUAACAACAUUUCAUUUCUUUGCGCUUCUCCAACAGAUUCAUACCCUCUAAAAAGAACAAGAAGAGAUACAGUAUAGACAAAGAGAUAAAAGCAGCAUUGAGAAAUAUUAUCCAUAAGAAGGAGCAGGCCAUGCAAAAUGGAGACUCAGGCGAUGCUGACUUGCUAGGCUUGCUUUUACAGGGCAGGGAUGAUGCUGAUAAUGACAUGAAAAUUGAAGAUGUAAUCGAGGAAUGCAAGUUGUUCUUCUUUGCAGGCCAAGAGACCACAGCAAACUUACUCACUUGGACAUUGAUAGUUCUAUCUAUGCAUCCAGUCUGGCAAGAGAAAGCAAGAGAAGAAGUUUUGCAGAUUUGUGGCAACAGAGCACCUGAUAUCGAUAGUAUAAAACAACUCAGAAUUGUAAGUACUUCUUUUGUUCACGCAUUAAUUUAUCAUGUUUUGUAAGCUACAGUCAACUCCUUGGAAACGAUUAUAAAUCCCUGGUUUAUGAAACUAAAUAAAUUUGCAGGUCUCAAUGAUCUUAAACGAGGUACUAAGACUAUAUCCACCUGUGAAUCUUCUGUAUCGACAUACUCUAAAGGAAACAAGCAUUCGAGGAAUGUCCAUUCCAGCUGGGUAGACCUCCUGUUACCAUUCCUGUUUCUUCACUAUGAUCCUGAGUAUUGGGGAGACAACGCAGAAGAAUUCAAACCAGAGAGAUUCUCUGAAGGAGUUUCGAAAG